ACAGGUGCUGCAUGGCUGUCGUCAGCUCGUGUCGUGAGAUGUUGGGUUAAGUCCCGCAACGAGCGCAACCCUCGCCCUUAGUUGCCAUCGGUUCGGCCGGGCACUCUAGGGGAACUGCCGGUGACAAGCCGGAGGAAGGCGGGGAUGACGUCAAGUCCUCAUGGCCCUUAUGGGCUGGGCUACACACGUGCUACAAUGGCGGUGACAGUGGGCAGCGAGGCAGCGAUGCCAAGCCAAUCCCAAAAAGCCGUCUCAGUUCGGAUUGUUCUCUGCAACUCGAGAGCAUGAAGGUGGAAUCGCUAGUAAUCGUGGAUCAGCAUGCCACGGUGAAUACGUUCCCGGGCCUUGUACACACCGCCCGUCACACCAUGGGAGUUGGUUUUA
Molecule: ribosomal RNA, 384 nt
Filed under: uncultured Alphaproteobacteria bacterium
Lineage: Bacteria; Pseudomonadati; Pseudomonadota; Alphaproteobacteria
Description: bacterial SSU rRNA
Rfam family: Bacterial small subunit ribosomal RNA
Source: RNAcentral